GAUGAACGCUGGCGGCGUGCCUAAUACAUGCAAGUCGAGCGAACAGACGAGGAUCUUACUCCUCUGACGUUAGCGGCGGACGGGUGAGUAACACGUGGAUAACCUACCUAUAUGACUGGGGUAACUUCGGGUAACAGGAGCUAAUACCGGAUCACUUGUUGAAUCGUAUGGUUCAGCUGUGAAAGAAGGUCUUGCUGUCUAUUAUUGAUGGCUCCGAGUCGCAAUUGUUAGUUGGUAUGGUAACGGCCUACCAAGGCAACGAUGCGUAGGCGACCGGAGAGGGUGGUCGGCCACACGCGAAGUGACACACGGUCCAGACUCCGACGGGAGGCAGGAGUAGGUAAGCUACCGCAGUGAACGAAAGCCUGACGGAUCAACGCCGCGUGAGUGAAGAAGGACUGCGGUUCGUAAAACACUGUUAUUAGAGAAGAACAAAAAUGUAAGUAACUAUGCACAUCUUAACGGAACCUAAUCAGAAAGCCACGCCUAACUACGU
Molecule: ribosomal RNA, 496 nt
Filed under: uncultured bacterium
Lineage: Bacteria
Description: partial 16S ribosomal RNA
Rfam family: Bacterial small subunit ribosomal RNA
Source: RNAcentral